This 412-nucleotide long non-coding RNA is filed under the name Sinocyclocheilus grahami. RNAcentral describes it as "lncRNA (ENSSGRG00000031864.1)". Lineage: Eukaryota; Metazoa; Chordata; Actinopteri; Cypriniformes; Cyprinidae. The record is from RNAcentral.
UCUGAGGUUCUGUGAGCAGGCUGUAAUGAUCAUGAGAUCCCUGGGUCGAGUGAUCAGCUGCUUCUCAGAUCUAGAGGAACUACCAUCAACCACCAAAGAACUUGAGAAGACCCACGGUGUAGGCAUACAGCAACAAAGGGUGUUCCGUGAAGCUGUGUAUCAUAUGUUUUGCUCUGCACUGGUGCGGAAACUGACCUCUGAGGAGCUGUUUGCGGUACAGACUCUGACAGGGGACCCAUCGCCACAUGGCAGCAAUGAUAAAGCCUGGGAUGCACGAUCAGAUGACAUUCCAGAGCACUGGAAUGGCAGGCAGGCCACAGACAAGGAAAUGCAGGCAGCCACAGUGUUGCAGGCAGGUUGGAAAGGAUACCUAGUCAGAGAGAUCCUCACUGCAGCAAGACCAGGUAAAGUC